Molecule: transfer RNA, 69 nt
Filed under: Pachydactylus kladaroderma
Lineage: Eukaryota; Metazoa; Chordata; Lepidosauria; Squamata; Gekkonidae
Description: tRNA-Tyr
Source: RNAcentral
CCUUGGUAACAAGGGGUUACGCCCUGUAAGUGGAUCUACAGUCCAAUGCCUACUCUCGGCCAUAUUACC